AUUGAACGCUGGCGGCAGGCUUAACACAUGCAAGUCGAGCGGGGUGAUGGUGCUUGCACUAUCACUUAGCGGCGGACGGGUGAGUAAUGCUUAGGAAUCUGCCUAUUAGUGGGGGACAACACCUCGAAAGGGAUGCUAAUACCGCAUACGUCCUACGGGAGAAAGCAGGGGAUCACUUGUGACCUUGCGCUAAUAGAUGAGCCUAAGUCGGAUUAGCUAGUUGGUGGGGUAAAGGCCUACCAAGGCGACGAUCUGUAGCGGGUCUGAGAGGAUGAUCCGCCACACCGGGACUGAGACACGGCCCAGACUCCUACGGGAGGCAGCAGUGGGGAAUAUUGGACAAUGGGGGGAACCCUGAUCCAGCCAUGCCGCGUGUGUGAAGAAGGCCUUAUGGUUGUAAAGCACUUUAAGCGAGGAGGAGGCUCUUUUGGUUAAUACCCAAGAUGAGUGGACGUUACUCGCAGAAUAGGCACCGGCUAACUCUGUGCCAGCCGCCGCGGAA
RNAcentral lists this ribosomal RNA (502 nucleotides) under uncultured bacterium. RNAcentral's name for it is "partial 16S ribosomal RNA". It matches the Rfam family "Bacterial small subunit ribosomal RNA", at positions 30 to 522 of the family's 1533-position model. The record is from RNAcentral.